Molecule: unclassified non-coding RNA, 179 nt
Filed under: uncultured Sebacina
Lineage: Eukaryota; Fungi; Basidiomycota; Agaricomycetes; Sebacinales; Sebacinaceae
Description: sequence contains ITS1
Source: RNAcentral
CAAUGAGUGUUUUAUGGCACUCUUUGGUGCUGGCUCUCGCGAGCAAGUGCACAUUGGUGGCUUUCAUCCACUACUACCCUUGUGAACCUUUGGCCUCUUGCUCGCUUCGGCUGGCAGAGGAUUUUUACACACACACUCGAAUGUAAUGAAAACGUUUGUCGUGCGCAAGCACUAAUGUA